CCUACGGGUGGCAGCAGUAGAGAAUAUUUCUCAAUGGGGGAAACCCUGAAGCAGCGACGCCGCGUGGAGGAUUAAGGUUUUCGGAUUGUUAACUCCUUUUGUUAGAGGAGAUAAUGACGGUAUCUAACGAAUAAGCACCGGCUAACUCCGUGCCAGCAGCCGCAGUAAUACGGAGGGUGCAAGCGUUACUCGGAAUCACUGGGCGUAAAGAGCGAGUAGGCGGGAUAGCAAUUCAUAUGUGAAAUGCUAUGGCUUAACCAGAGAACUGCAUUUGAAACUGUUAUUCUAGAGUAUGGGAGAGGUAGGCGGAAUUCUUGGUGGAGGAGUAAAAUCCGUAGAGAUCAAGAGGAAUACUCAUUGCGAAGGCGACCUCCUAGAACAUAACUGACGCUGAUGCGCGAAGGCGUGGGGAGCGAAAGGGAUUAGAUACCCGUGUAGUC
This 440-nucleotide ribosomal RNA is filed under the name uncultured bacterium. RNAcentral describes it as "partial 16S ribosomal RNA". It matches the Rfam family "Bacterial small subunit ribosomal RNA", at positions 338 to 795 of the family's 1533-position model. The record is from RNAcentral.